Long non-coding RNA from Dipodomys ordii (Ord's kangaroo rat), 101 nucleotides. RefSeq lists it as uncharacterized. The transcript is spliced from 3 exons. Lineage: Eukaryota; Metazoa; Chordata; Mammalia; Rodentia; Heteromyidae. The record is from RefSeq and is a predicted model, not a curated record.
CAGGUCUCCCCUGGCGCUGGCUUCCCUUGCCCUGGAUGAUUUUCUGGCUCUUGGUUUUGCUUCCCCACCUGCUACCAUUUCAUUAGAUAAAGAGACCAUGG